AUACGGAGGAUCCGAGCGUUAUCCGGAUUUAUUGGGUUUAAAGGGUGCGCAGGCGGCCAUUUAAGUCAGCGGUUAAAUCGUGGGGCUCAACCCCAUUCUGCCGUUGAUACUGGGUGGCUUGAUUGCGGUCGAGGUUGGCGGAAGUAGUGGUGUAGCGGUGAAAUGCUUAGAUAUCACGAAGAACUCCGAUUGCGAAGGCAGCUUGCUGGACUGUAACUGACGCUGAUGCUCGAAAGUGUGGGUAUCAAACAGGAUUAGAUACCCUGGUAGUCCACACAGUAAACGAUGAAUACUCGCUGUUUGCGAUAUACAGUAAGCGGCCAAGCGAAAGCGUUAAGUAUUCCACCUGGGGAGUACGCCGGCAACGGUGAAACUCAAAUGAAUUGACGGGG
RNAcentral lists this ribosomal RNA (392 nucleotides) under uncultured bacterium. RNAcentral describes it as "partial 16S ribosomal RNA". It matches the Rfam family "Bacterial small subunit ribosomal RNA", at positions 523 to 918 of the family's 1533-position model. The record is from RNAcentral.